RNAcentral lists this long non-coding RNA (467 nucleotides) under Androctonus crassicauda. Lineage: Eukaryota; Metazoa; Arthropoda; Arachnida; Scorpiones; Buthidae. The record is from RNAcentral.
AAUAAGUAUUGCAACGAAUUCACAAUAAUUGUAAAUAGUUUUAAUUAUAAUAAUUGGAUAAAUGAUUAUAGAAAACACUUUUAUUAUUGAUUGUAUCGUUAUUUAAUUAACAGAAGAGAUCAGGCAUGGGAGGAAACUAAGUAUUGUCUUUCAGUAAUUUGUUUUAUAGUACAUUAUUGCAGUUUGAUGUAAAGUAUCAACAUUUAGGGCAUGCCCAUCUGCGCGAACUCCAGUCACUUUCUCCGCGAACAGAGUACAAUCAUAUCUCGACUUACGUCGGUUUUUUUGUUAAUAGAAAAAAAUAAAACUCUACUAAAGGCUGGAUUUGACAAGCGUAAAACGCGAUGUAAAUAUAUCGGUAUAUCAAUGCUGACGAUGCUAUUUCCGCUAUAUGUUAGACUAAUAGCUAUAUGAGCUGGUUAUUGAAACUUUGUUGCUCUCUGAAAUAAUAUAUGCAACACAUACAG